Long non-coding RNA from Oncorhynchus keta (chum salmon), 1271 nucleotides. RefSeq lists it as uncharacterized. The record is from RefSeq and is a predicted model, not a curated record. NCBI's taxonomy places the organism in Eukaryota, Metazoa, Chordata, Actinopteri, Salmoniformes, Salmonidae. The transcript is spliced from 7 exons.
GUGCUGUACAGAAACCCAGCCUAAAAUCCCAAACAGCACGGUGGCUAGGAAAACUCCCUAGAAAGGCCUAAACCUAGGAAGGGGGUAGUUUGGCGAGCCAAUGCUAACUAGCAUUGACUGGAAGCCUACAGGAACAGAUACAACAAUUGUUAGGUGGGGAGAGUGAGAGAGCGAGAGAUAGAAUGAACAUUUGUUGUUAGGUGGGGAGAGUGCGAGCGAUAGAAUUAACAUUUGUUGUUAGGUGGGGAGAGAGCGAGCGAUAGAAUUAACAUUUGUUGUUAGGUGGGGAGAGAGCGAGCGAUAGAAUUAACAUUUGUUGUUAGGUGGGGAGAGAGCGAGCGAUAGAAUUAACAUUUGUUGUUAGGUGGGGAGAGAGCGAGCGAUAGAAUUAACAUUUGUUGUUAGGUGGGGAGAGAGCGAGCGAUAGAAUUAACAUUUGUUGUUAGGUGGGGAGAGGGAGAGAGCGAGCGAUAGAAUUAACAUUUGUUGUUAGGUGGGGAGAGGGAGAGAGCGAGCGAUAGAAUUAACAUUUGUUGUUAGGUGGGGAGAGGGAGAGAGCGAGCGAUAGAAUUAACAUUUGUUGUUAGGUGGGGAGAGGGAGAGAGCGAGCGAUAGAAUUAACAUUUGUUGUUAGGUGGGGAGAGGGAGAGAGCGAGCGAUAGAAUUAACAUUUGUUGUUAGGUGGGGAGAGGGAGAGAGCGAGCGAUAGAAUUAACAUUUGUUGUUAGGUGGGGAGAGGGAGAGAGCGAGCGAUAGAAUUAACAUUUGUUGUUAGGUGGGGAGAGGGAGAGAGCGAGCGAUAGAAUUAACAUUUGUUGUUAGGUGGGGAGAGGGAGAGAGCGAGCGAUAGAAUUAACAUUUGUUGUUAGGUGGGGAGAGGGAGAGAGCGAGCGAUAGAAUUAACAUUUGUUGUUAGGUGGGGAGAGGGAGAGAGCGAGCGAUAGAAUGAACAUUUGAGUUGGACAUUGAAAGAACAGCACUGGCACCUGUGAAUCAGUCACCAACAUUCAUAUCAAAUACAGAUUUUAUAAUUGGGUUGUGCCGUGGCGGAGAUCUUUGUGGGCUAUACUCAGCCUUGUCUCAGGAUGGUAAGUUGGUGGUUGAAGAUAUCCCUCUAGUGGUGUCGGGGCUGUGCUUUGGCAAAGUGGGUGGGGUUAUAUCCUUCCUGUUUGGCCCUGUCCGGGGGUGUCCUCGGAUGGGGCCACAGUGUCUCCUGACCCCUCCUGUCUCAGCCUCCAGUAUUUAUGCUGCAGUAGUUUAUGUGUCGGGGG